CCUACGGGUGGCUGCAGUAGGGAAUAUUGGUCAAUGGAGGCAACUCUGAACCAGCCAUGCCGCGUGCAGGACUAAGGCCCUAUGGGUCGUAAACUGCUUUUGAACGGGAAGAAAUGUAUCUACGUGUAGAUAUUUGACGGUACCGUUAGAAUAAGGAUCGGCUAACUUCGUGCCAGCAGCCGCGGUAAUACGAAGGAUCCAAGCGUUGUCCGGAUUUACUGGGUUUAAAGGGUGCGUAGGCGGACUUAUAAGUCAGUGGUGAAAGCCUUCAGCUUAACUGAAGAACUGCCAUUGAAACUGUAAGUCUCGAGUUCGGUUGAGGUCAUUGGAAUGUAACAUGUAGCGGUGAAAUGCAUAGAUAUGUUACAGAACACCAAUUGCGAAGGCAGAUGACUAAACCGAAACUGACGCUGAGGCACGAAAGCGUGGGGAUCAAACAGGAUUAGAUACCCAAGUAGUC
Molecule: ribosomal RNA, 460 nt
Filed under: uncultured bacterium
Lineage: Bacteria
Description: bacterial SSU rRNA
Rfam family: Bacterial small subunit ribosomal RNA
Source: RNAcentral